UUUCUCUCUCCUUAUCUCACUCCUCUCUACCACGGCCUCCACCGACUCCUCUCCACCACUGCCCCACCUCGCCUCCUUCCUCCACCAUGUUUGGACCCCUCUCAAUAACGAUGCGAGUGAAGAUUUCUCGGGCAAUGGCACAAAGCGGGCUCCUCCUUGUGACGACACACGGGGCUCCUGACAUCCUCCAGGUCUUCUCGUUCCCUCUCACAGUCAAUCUCUCUCUAGAUUUGGUCGAGGCAAGCUUGGUAGUGGAGGAGGGUAGAGGAGGGGCGACAUCGCUCAUGGACAAACUGCUGGCGGACGCCUAUUGAAUAUGUGAUGGCUUAGGAGCUGUGUCCAUGGCGGUAGCAGGUUCUGACAGUCUUGAUAGUGGCUCAAUGGUGGAGGGCCAAUAUUGUGUGGCUCAAUGGCGGCAAUGGGCUCACUGCGCAUGAUAAUACCAAUGGUUUAUUUUAAUUUUUUAUAUAAAUAUAUGUAUGUAUAUAUUAUUGUUAAUAGAAAAACCGGUGGUGAUAGGUCUUACGAGCCGACAAUCAUGAGAUAUGUGUUGUAGUGCUGAGGUCAUUGUUGUAAGGUGACUGCCUCUGUUAAUAGAGUGUUAAUGGAGCAAGUUUUUUUAUAUAAACCUGCUUCGCAAUGACUAACAUAAGUGUCCAUCUUAUGUAAGCCUGCUUUGCCACACCUAUUUAUCCUUCUUCUAGACAACUCCUUAUGUGAGUGAACAGCUCUAGAUCUGUAAGAAAAGGCAUAUUUCAAGGGGGAGGUUUUGAUAUUUGGUGCUCCCACUACCACAAUCCCAAAUUACCUUGAGUGCUAAAGAUUUCCUUAAGGGCCAAAACAAAACCGCAAUGAAAAGUGCAGUUUCCUUGGCUGCAGACAUAUAUAGACCUCCAAGGAAAUGGAUAUUCUUGAGUGCUAAAUGAAACAACCAAGGUAAUUCCAUGUUUCCUUGAGUAUUAUUACAAACUGCCAAGGUAAUUCAUAUUUUCUUGGAUGUAAUUUGAAACCCUAAAGGAAAUUCUCAGAGCUUUAAAAUGCAAAUUUUUGAAAUUUCCAAAUGAACUUGGAUAGAGAUAUGACCUAAACUGAAGUUAUAGUAUUCGACGAGAUCCAAAACUUUUUAGUUUAGACUUUUUACAUUUGAAAUUGUUUUGGAUCUAAAAAAUUCCUUACAAGAUUCAACAAAGUGAAUACAAAAAAAAACAUAAUCUACUUGGUCACAAGAUGCUUUGAGUUGUAGUGGUAAGAGCUUUUCUAUUUGAAGCAAUAGAGCACAGGUUUGAAUCCUAGCAGGCGCAGCUUGCAUUAAUUUAUGUUUUUUUUUUGCUAUUCCUUUAUAUUUUCCUUGGAUGUUGAUGGCCCUCAAGGAAAUGGUGAGGAAUAUUUUCUUGAAGGUUGCUAGUCCUCAAGAAAACUAAUUUACUUGAAGGUUUCAACAUUUUCUUGUCUACAAAUUAAGUAUGAUCCUUGAGUGGCAAAACCGCCAAGGAAACUAAUUUCCUUUGUGCUGUUUCCUUGGGGUAGUUUGCUUGAUGAUUUGUGGCCAAGGAUCAUUUCCUUGGCAGUUUAGUCCAUUUCCUUUACGAUUUUGGGUACUCAAGAUAAUCCGGGAUUGUGGUAGUGCUCCUUAUAGGUUAGUUUCUGCCCUCAUAUGUUUUUUUUAUGCCUCUUUUGAGUGUUUUGAUAGCAUUUUUGCUAGUUCUUGAGGUCUAUAUCAGGAUUAGUGGGAAGACAGAUGAAAGAGUACAUGUCUGUGUGAGAGGCAAACAAAAAAAACAAAAAUCUUAGGCUACCAAGUGUGGAGAUAAAUGUGUAGAUUUGUAUAUUUUUGUGCCCCAAUAUGUUUUCAAUAAUUAGUUAUUGAUUCCAUAAUUAUUUCAUAUUUUUUGACAUAGCUCCAUCAUGCUGUAUGAUUGUUUUUGUGUACAUAUAUAUUUUUAUGACAAAUUAGUUUAUUUAUUGUUUUGUAUGUACAGAUUAUCCACCAUUUAUUAGUUUAGGGUUCCUUGAUGCAUCUAUUAUAUUUUCCGUUCAAAGCUAAAAAAUGGAUAGAUCACAAUGGAUAUACAAUUCAUCAAGGCUGCAUGUCCUGUUUAAUGCAAGAAGUGUGAUAGUUUGUUGACACUGCAAGGAAGCAUGCUCUGAUGGAGAAUUAUUAGACUAAUAUGUCCAUGCUCUCACUGCAAAAACAAGAGAGUAUGGUUAGCAGCUUGUGAGUCAAAUCUCAUUUGGUUAGGUGGGGUUUCAAAUUUCAUCAAGGGCUACAUGGCUUGGACCUUUCACAACUUCACUACAUCCGUAACAUCAGUGGUGGUGGACCAUCUUUCCUCUAUGAAAAUUUACAUUGCCUGGAUCACUUUCUUUGAACCUACGCUCCUUAUAGGAGGCACGUCCCUAACAUAUACAGAGCUUGGAGAAAGAGGGUCAUGGACUUUUCCUUGUUGUUGCUCUCAUCCUUUCACACGAGAUAGAGAUGCAUAUAUUAAAGUAGAGAUAUAGACACAAACCAAUAACAAAGCACUCCUGUUUUUUGUAAGCACAUAAGUUAUUGUCAAGAAAUCUAUUUUGUGCAAAAUUAUUGAAAUAGAAAGAAAGAAGUGUCUACACGGACCUCUUCAUCAAUGUUGGAAUUCAACCUGCUAUUAAUGUGGUUCUUUCAGUUUCCAGAGUUUUCUUGCCUUCGAAGAUUCAUAUAUUCAACAACAAUUGUUUCUAUUUUCAUUUGAUCUAGUUGAUGGAAAUAUACUUAUACUUAUC
This 2760-nucleotide long non-coding RNA is filed under the name Sorghum bicolor (sorghum). RNAcentral's name for it is "long non-coding RNA (SBIC_LNC009485)". Lineage: Eukaryota; Viridiplantae; Streptophyta; Magnoliopsida; Poales; Poaceae. The record is from RNAcentral.